GGAUUCACUAGUGAUUCAGGCCUAACACAUGCAAGUCGAACGGCAGCACGGGUGCUUGCACCUGGUGGCGAGUGGCGAACGGGUGAGUAAUACAUCGGAACGUACCUUAUCGUGGGGGAUAACGCAGCGAAAGCUGUGGUAAUACCGCAUACGCCCCGAGGGGGAAAGCGGGGGAUCGCAAGACCUCGCGCGAUUAGAGCGGCCGAUGCCUGAUUAGCUAGUUGGUGGGGUAAAAGCCCACCAAGGCGACGAUCAGUAGCUGGUCUGAGAGGACGAUCAGCCACACUGGGACUGAGACACGGCCCAGACUCCUACGGGAGGCAGCAGUGGGGAAUUUUGGACAAUGGGGGCAACCCUGAUCCAGAAAGGCCGCGUGAGUGAAGAAGGCCUUCGGG
RNAcentral lists this ribosomal RNA (395 nucleotides) under uncultured bacterium. Its description in RNAcentral is "bacterial SSU rRNA". It matches the Rfam family "Bacterial small subunit ribosomal RNA", at positions 34 to 422 of the family's 1533-position model. The record is from RNAcentral.